GAAAUUCCGGCGACAGCAGGGCAAAACAGGAGCUGAUUCGAGCUGGCAGCGCUGGGCCAUGGAACCGGUAGAGACCUGGACCCCCGGAAAGGUGGCAACUUGGCUGAGAGGUCUUGACGACUCCCUGCAGGACUAUCCCUUUGAGGACUGGCAGCUGCCUGGCAAGAACCUGCUCCAGCUCUGCCCCCGAAGCCUCGAGGCUCUGGCUGUGCGGUCUCUGGGACACCAGGAGCUCAUCCUGGGCGGGGUGGAACAGCUCCAGGCCCUGAGCUCCAGGCUACAGACAGAGAACCUGCAAAGCCUGACAGAGGGACUGCUGGGGGCAACCCAUGACUUCCAGAGCAUAGUCCAAGGCUGCCUGGGGGACUGUGCCAAGACCCCUAUUGAUGUCCUCUGUGCGGCUGUGGAGCUGGUGCAUGAAGCUGACGCCCUCCUCUUCUGGCUCAGCAGGUACCUCUUCUCCCACUUAAAUGAUUUCUCAGCAUGCCAGGAGAUCCGAGACUUGUUGGAGGAGCUGAGCCAGGUCUUGCAUGAGGAUCGUGAGUCUGUGGGGUGGGAAGAGAGUGGGGGUAGGGGCGAUCGGGCUCAGGCUACAUAGCCCGCUCCCCUCCCCCAGUGCAGCCACGUGGCUGGGAUCUGCCACAACAUCCUGGUCUGCUGCCCCAAGGAGCUGCUGGAACAGAGGGCCGUGCUCGAGCAGGUGCAGCUGGACAGUCCAUUGGGCCUAGAAAUUCACACCACCA
Molecule: small RNA, 743 nt
Filed under: Pan troglodytes (chimpanzee)
Lineage: Eukaryota; Metazoa; Chordata; Mammalia; Primates; Hominidae
Description: processed transcript
Source: RNAcentral